Molecule: long non-coding RNA, 592 nt
Filed under: Ananas comosus (pineapple)
Lineage: Eukaryota; Viridiplantae; Streptophyta; Magnoliopsida; Poales; Bromeliaceae
Description: long non-coding RNA (ACOM_LNC042737)
Source: RNAcentral
GUUAGGGGUGGAACUGGGCCAGUUGGACCGGGCACUACAACAAAAACGGUCUAUAGCGACACUUUUAAAUGUAGGUAUAUGUCAAAAAAAUACUGCUAGCUAAAAUUACCGACAUUUUUAAAAAGUGCUGCUAUAUGUGGGGUCGCUAGGUAUAUAGUGACAGUUAAAGAGUGUUGCUAUAACCUAAAAGAGUGCUGCUAAUUUACCAAUACUUAUUUAAGCAUUUAGCAACCGCCGAAACUCUAUCUCGUUGGCUGCGGUGGCGAAGGAGAACGACAGGAAAUGCUCUUCGUCUAGAAUUUCAGUGGAUUGACUGAAGAGAGAUGAAAAGAUGGCAAUUGAUUUUUCUUUUUUUUUUUCUAUUCUGUUUGUAAUCGGGCCAAAUGGACUGGGUGUGGUGGGUUGAGUAGAGUAAUCUUUUAUUUUUUGUUGGAUUGGGCUUUAUAAUUAGGCAUUAGUAGAUGUUUUUUUUAAGUUUUAGCAUAAAUGGGACAUUUACUCAAAAGUGUCCCAAACAUGUGUCCCUAUAACCUAAUUCUGUUAUAGUGAGGCCUCAUUUGGGUUUUUUUUCGCGUACUUGAAAAACAAUAUU